GUAUUAGCUAAAAACUAUGUGGACCUAGCCCUUAUCAUUAAAAUAAAACACUCAAGGGUUUACAAACUAUUGAAAUUUAAGAAAAUGUCUUUGCAAUGAAUGCUACUAAGACUCACUGUUAUUAAGUACAUACAUAUCAAUUCCAUAAACUCAAUGGAAAACAUUUUACUGUGCUUGUAAAAAGAAGUGACUCAUAAACAGGAAUUCUGUCAUUUUAUCACUUUCAUGAUAGAAUGAUGUGUAGAAUUUGUUUUACAAUGCUCCAGAAAUAAAAUGUAGGGAAUGGAAAGAAGAUAGGUGAAAGAAAAGUGGUGCAACAUCAGUCAGUGUUGAAGCUAAGUUCAUUUUGCUACUUUACCUACUCAUGCAUAUGUUGGAAAAUUUACAAAAUGAAAAGCUAAAAGGAGAGAGAGCAUCUUCAGCAUGAAAGACAGCCAUUACCAAAGCAUUUCCUAUCUUUAACAAAAACUGAAGUCUUAGCCUUCAGACUAAGGAUGGUAGGAAGAAAGUAGCAAGGAAGUAUGGGACUGACCUUGCCGUAAGGAGUCACAGACCAGGGUAAGGGACCUGUUGCUGUCAGACCAUGAUUGGCAUCUUAGCCCUGACACUUCCUAGCCAUGUGAUUUGGGGCUAAAACUAGUCCACACCAAAGUUCUCUUAAAAUGCGGGUAGUAAUAGAACCUGCUCCAAAAGGUGGCUGUGAAGAUUAUAUGAGAUAAGAAUAAUGCCUAGCACAUAUUCUAACUCAAAAAGCUUACAUAUUAGGUUGGUGCAAACAUAAUUGUGGUUUUUGCCACAAUAUUGCCAACACUAAUAUUAUUAUUUGGAGGCAACAAUACGCUGUAAUGUCUAUUUUUCUUAUACUAAAGUUAACUUCACUUAGCAUGAUACACAAUGCCUCUCACAGCCCAGCUUCAGUUUUGCCCACUUUACAUUCCACUAUUCCCAGAGUUCCCUGUGUCCUAGUAACACAAAGCUACUCCCCAUUCCCAAAGCACAUUGUGUACUUCAGUGUCUCCUUGCUCCUUCAUUCUGAUUAGAACACUCUUCUCCAGUUGUCCAGUGAAUCAUUCAGUCUCUGUCAUGUAGUCCACACUGUACCUCUGAUAGCUCAUGCAGAAUGAGCUGCUGUCUCUUCUCAGAUCCAAUUGCUCUUCUGUAUAACUGAUAUGGUUUGGCUCUGUGUCCCCAUCCAAAUCACAUUUUGUAGCUCCCCUAAUUCCCACGUGUUGUGGGAGGGACCCCAUGGGAGAUAAUUGAAUCAUGGGGGCGGGUCUUUCCCAUGUUGUUCUCGUGAUAGUGAAUAAGUCUCAUGAGAUCUGAUGGUUUUAAAAAUGGUAAUUUCCCUGCACAAGCUGUCUCUCUUUUGGCCUGCUGCCAUCCGCGUAAGACAUGACUUACUCCUCCGUGCCUUCCACCAUGAUUGUGAGGCUUCCCCAGCCAUGAGGAACUAAUACCCAUCCCAUAGAUGUACUUGGGAUAGACAGCUUCUGGCACUCCUCCCAAGAUCUCUCCCUCCUGGUUACAAAAACCUGAGACUUCCAUUUUGCUGGAAACUUCUUUUCCUCUUGCACACUCACUCUGCGACUCUGUGUGGAGAGCUCCAUGUGACAAGGGAGGUCUGCAGCCUAAGCAACUGAGACCUCAGCCCAACAGCCCUCAAAGAACUGGAUCUUCAAACAACCACAUGAGUGACCUAGAAGCAAAUCUGUCACCAGUGCUCUUGAGACGGGCUGAAGUAUUUAAUCACCGGCACAAAAUGUCCCAGUGUUCUGUUCUCCUGCUGUGGAAAUUUUAGAGAAAAGAUCAUGAUCUAAGAGUCUACAAGACCAGAGCAGCCUGAAUUGCUGAGCUGCCUGGUGGAGAAUAGCAGCAUUGGGUGGUUCCCAGGAUUCUUAAAAGGACUUUACAAAGGCCUGGCCUAAUCACUUAAGAGCUCUUAAGGAGUGAAUGGGCUCUUCCUGAAAAAAGAGCUUCUGCUAACCCUGAAAAGCAAGCAACAACCCUGUGAACUGCUAUGGAGAGAGAUGGCCUCUAACAGCUGAGGACCUCAGUCCUACAACCACAAGAAACUGAUUUCUGCCAACAACAUGAAUGAACUUGGAAAAGGCCCCUGAGCUCCAGAUGAGAACACCCAGGUCAACUCAGGUCAUGAGCAGAGAACCCUGUUAUAUUCUCCUUGGCUUGUGAUCCAUAAACAAUGAGAUUAUAAAUGUGUGGUUUUUAAGCCAUUAGGUUUGUGGUAACUUGUUACACAAGCCUCUUUUAGAUUCUUUACAUACACAAAUAUAUUCUAAACGAAUAAUGAGUCUUCCUUUCCCAUCUUUAUACCAUUUACUUCUUAUUCUUCCCUUACCGCUUUAAGACCUCUAGUAUAAAGUUGACUAGAAAAGGUGGUAGUGGCAUUAUUGUGUAGUUCUUUAUAUCAAAGGGAAGAUUUUCAAUGUUUUCAUGUUAAGUAUGACAUUUACUGUAGGUUUUUCAUAGAUGCUCUUUAAUCAGUUUAAGCAAUUCUUGUCUAUCCCUAGAAUUAUUGUCAGGAAUAAAUGUUGACUUUUAUCGAACACUGUUUCUGCACCUUUUAAAAAUAUCAUAUUUUUUCCUUCAAAUGGUUACUGUGUUGAAUUAUAUUAGCAGACAUUCUAAUGUUAAAGUAACCUAUCAUUCCAGAGAAAAGGAGGUGAGAAUAGCAGUUUAGUUAUGAUGCUGUAUCCCUUUUAUAAAUUCUUGGAUGCAAUUUGCCAAUAUUUGGUCUAAGAUUUUUGCAUUAUGUUAAUGACUGGAAAUGAGUCUUAAUUUUCCUUUAUUUUUCUGGCUUCUUUGUGUUUCGAUAUCAAGAAUAUGCAAGUCUCAUGCAAUAAAUUCUAUGGAAGAGUU
This 2877-nucleotide long non-coding RNA is filed under the name Homo sapiens (human). RNAcentral describes it as "HSALNT0399484". The record is from RNAcentral. Lineage: Eukaryota; Metazoa; Chordata; Mammalia; Primates; Hominidae.